AUGUCCGAGUCCAAGAACGGCCCCGAGUAUGCUUCGUUUUUCGCCGUCAUGGCAGCCUCGGCCGCCAUGGUCUUCAGCGCCCCGCGCGCUGCCUAUGGCACGGUCAAGACCGGUGCCGGCAUCGCGGCCAUGUCUGUCAUGCGGCCGGAGCUGAUCAUGAAGUCCAUCAUCCCGGUGGUCACGGCUGGCAUCAUCGCCAUCUAUGGCCUGGUGGUGACAGUCCUCAUCGCCAGCUCCCCGAAUGACGACAUCAGCCUCUACAGGAGCUGCCUCCAGCUAGCGCCGGCCUGAGCGUGGGCCUGAGCGGCCUGGCAGCCGGCUUUGCCAUAGACAUCUUGGGGGACGCCGGUGUGCGAGCCACGGCCCAGCAGCCCCGACUAUUCAUGGGCAUGAUCCUGAUCCUCAUCUUCCCCGAGGUGCUCGGCCUGUACGGUCUCGUCGUUGCCCUCAUCCUCUCCACAGAGUAG
Molecule: long non-coding RNA, 467 nt
Filed under: Homo sapiens (human)
Lineage: Eukaryota; Metazoa; Chordata; Mammalia; Primates; Hominidae
Description: non-protein coding lnc-BICRAL-2:1
Source: RNAcentral